Molecule: ribosomal RNA, 782 nt
Filed under: Escherichia coli
Lineage: Bacteria; Pseudomonadati; Pseudomonadota; Gammaproteobacteria; Enterobacterales; Enterobacteriaceae
Also listed under: 1 other name
Description: partial 23S ribosomal RNA
Rfam family: Bacterial large subunit ribosomal RNA
Source: RNAcentral
AUAAUGGGUCAGCGACUUAUAUUCUGUAGCAAGGUUAACCGAAUAGGGGAGCCGAAGGGAAACCGAGUCUUAACUGGGCGUUAAGUUGCAGGGUAUAGACCCGAAACCCGGUGAUCUAGCCAUGGGCAGGUUGAAGGUUGGGUAACACUAACUGGAGGACCGAACCGACUAAUGUUGAAAAAUUAGCGGAUGACUUGUGGCUGGGGGUGAAAGGCCAAUCAAACCGGGAGAUAGCUGGUUCUCCCCGAAAGCUAUUUAGGUAGCGCCUCGUGAAUUCAUCUCCGGGGGUAGAGCACUGUUUCGGCAAGGGGGUCAUCCCGACUUACCAACCCGAUGCAAACUGCGAAUACCGGAGAAUGUUAUCACGGGAGACACACGGCGGGUGCUAACGUCCGUCGUGAAGAGGGAAACAACCCAGACCGCCAGCUAAGGUCCCAAAGUCAUGGUUAAGUGGGAAACGAUGUGGGAAGGCCCAGACAGCCAGGAUGUUGGCUUAGAAGCAGCCAUCAUUUAAAGAAAGCGUAAUAGCUCACUGGUCGAGUCGGCCUGCGCGGAAGAUGUAACGGGGCUAAACCAUGCACCGAAGCUGCGGCAGCGACGCUUAUGCGUUGUUGGGUAGGGGAGCGUUCUGUAAGCCUGCGAAGGUGUGCUGUGAGGCAUGCUGGAGGUAUCAGAAGUGCGAAUGCUGACAUAAGUAACGAUAAAGCGGGUGAAAAGCCCGCUCGCCGGAAGACCAAGGGUUCCUGUCCAACGUUAAUCGGGGCAGGGUGAGUCGACCCCUA